ACUUUCAAAUAUUGACCCGACGAAAAUAUGUCAACUUUAUUUGACGCGACGCCUUUCAAGGGUACGUCAAUAAACACAGCCGAUUCUGUCUCUUCCCAAGUAAAAUCCUUGACAAGAAUAGGCAUGGUGAAAGAAUAAUUACACUAUUACUCUGUCUCUUAAUAUUGGCCAGAAACGAUGCUUGAAAUAGAACGAUAUUCCAUUAUUAAGAAGGGAAUGUGAAAAUUUGCAAGAAUUGUCCGCCAUCUUGG
Molecule: non-coding RNA, 251 nt
Organism: Paramuricea clavata
Lineage: Eukaryota; Metazoa; Cnidaria; Anthozoa; Malacalcyonacea; Plexauridae
Source: the annotation of a GenBank genome assembly